UACGGGGGGGGCAAGCGUUGUUCGGAAUUACUGGGCGUAAAGGGCUCGUAGGCGGCCAACUACGUCCGACGUGAAAUCCCCAGGCUUAACCUGGGAACUGCGUCGGAUACUGGAUGGCUUGAAUUCGGGAGAGGGAUGCAGAAUUCCAGGUGUAGCGGUGAAAUGCGUAGAUAUCUGGAAGAAUACCCGUGGCGAAGGCGGCCGACUGGGCCGUCUCCGACGCUGAUGCGCGAAAGCGUGGGGAGCAAACAGG
RNAcentral lists this ribosomal RNA (253 nucleotides) under uncultured bacterium. RNAcentral describes it as "partial 16S ribosomal RNA". It matches the Rfam family "Bacterial small subunit ribosomal RNA", at positions 524 to 776 of the family's 1533-position model. The record is from RNAcentral.